RNAcentral lists this ribosomal RNA (480 nucleotides) under uncultured bacterium. Its description in RNAcentral is "bacterial SSU rRNA". It matches the Rfam family "Bacterial small subunit ribosomal RNA", at positions 33 to 518 of the family's 1533-position model. The record is from RNAcentral.
GAGACACGCUGGCGGCAUGCCUAACACAUGCAAGUCGAACGGAGUAAUGACUUCGGUUAUUACUUAGUGGCGAACGGGUGAGUAACACGGUGAAUAAUCUGCCCUGUACGAUGGGAUAACAGCUGGAAACGGCUGCUAAUACCGUAUAUGACCACGCCGAGGCAUCUCGGAGGGGUGAAAGCGCUUAAGCGGUACAGGAUGAGUUCGCGUCCAAUUAGCUAGUUGGUGAGGUAACGGCCCACCAAGGCGACGAUUGGUAGCCGACCUGAGAGGGUGAUCGGCCACACUGGAACUGAGACACGGUCCAGACUCCUACGGGAGGCAGCAGUGGGGAAUAUUGGGCAAUGGAGGAAACUCUUUAACCCCCAGCAAUGCCGCGUGAGUGAUGAAGGUCUUCGGAUUGUAAAGCUCUUUGAUUGGGGACGAAUAAAUGACGGUACCCAAGGAACAAGCCCCGGCUAACUAUGUGCCAGCCGCCGC